This is a long non-coding RNA of Glycine soja, 303 nucleotides long. RefSeq lists it as uncharacterized. The transcript is spliced from 4 exons. The record is from RefSeq and is a predicted model, not a curated record. NCBI's taxonomy places the organism in Eukaryota, Viridiplantae, Streptophyta, Magnoliopsida, Fabales, Fabaceae.
AAUGAUCUGGAGGAAAAAUGUUCUUUGAAAGAUAAUCAGAUAAAGGCAUUGGAAGAGCAACUAGCAACUGCAGAGAAGAAACUGCAGGUGUCUAAUAUAUCUGCAUACGAGACAAGGACAGAGUACAAAGGACAACAAAAAUUUGUGAAUGAGUAGCAAAGACGCUUAGCAGAUGCAGAAUAUAAACUUAUAGAAGAGGAGAGGCUGAGGAAAAAAUUACAUAAUACCAUUUUGGAGUUAAAAGGGAACAUUCGUGUAUUCUGUCGAGUGAGGCCUUUAUUAGCUGAUGAAAGUUGUAGCACA